GACGAACGCUGGCGGCGUGCCUAAUACAUGCAAGUCGAACGCACUCUCGUUUAGAUUGAAGGAGCUUGCUCCUGAUUGAUAAACAUUUGAGUGAGUGGCGGACGGGUGAGUAACACGUGGGUAACCUGCCCUAAAGUGGGGGAUAACACUUGGAAACAGAUGCUAAUACCGCAUAAAACCUAACACCGCAUGGUGUAGGUUGAAAGAUGGUUUCGGCUAUCACUUUAGGAUGGACCCGCGGUGCAUUAGUUAGUUGGUGAGGUAAAGGCUCACCAAGACCGUGAUGCAUAGCCGACCUGAGAGGGUAAUCGGCCACACUGGGACUGAGACACGGCCCAGACUCCUACGGGAGGCAGCAGUAGGGAAUCUUCCACAAUGGACGAAAGUCUGAUGGAGCAACGCCGCGUGAGUGAAGAAGGUUUUCGGAUCGUAAAACUCUGUUGUUGGAGAAGAAUGUAUCUGAUAGUAACUGAUCAGGUAGUGACGGUAUCCAACCAG
RNAcentral lists this ribosomal RNA (498 nucleotides) under uncultured bacterium. Its description in RNAcentral is "bacterial SSU rRNA". It matches the Rfam family "Bacterial small subunit ribosomal RNA", at positions 28 to 486 of the family's 1533-position model. The record is from RNAcentral.